CAGUAGCCGCGGUAAUACAGAGGGUGCAAGCGUUAAUCGGAAUUACUGGGCGUAAAGCGCGCGUAGGUGGUUUGUUAAGUUGGAUGUGAAAUCCCCGGGCUCAACCUGGGAACUGCAUCCAAAACUGGCAAGCUAGAGUAUGGUAGAGGGUGGUGGAAUUUCCUGUGUAGCGGUGAAAUGCGUAGAGAUCUGGAGGAAUACCGGUGGCGAAGGCGGCCCCCUGGACAAAGACUGACGCUCAGGUGCGAAAGCGUGGGGAGCAAACAGGAUUAGAUACCCCCGUAGUCCCUGUAUCUUAUAC
This 301-nucleotide ribosomal RNA is filed under the name uncultured bacterium. RNAcentral's name for it is "partial 16S ribosomal RNA". It matches the Rfam family "Bacterial small subunit ribosomal RNA", at positions 509 to 807 of the family's 1533-position model. The record is from RNAcentral.